UACGUAGGUGGCAAGCGUUGUCCGGAGUUAUUGGGCGUAAAGCGCGCGCAGGCGGUGCGGUAAGUCUCUGGUGAAAGCGCUCGGCUUAACUGGGCGAGGGCCGGGGAGACUGCCACGCUGGAGGGGAGCAGAGGCGAGUGGAAUUCCGGGUGUAGUGGUGAAAUGCGUAGAGAUCCGGAGGAACACCAGUGGCGAAGGCGGCUCGCUGGGCUCUACCUGACGCUGAGGCGCGAAGGCGUGGGGAGCGAACCGG
This 253-nucleotide ribosomal RNA is filed under the name uncultured bacterium. RNAcentral's name for it is "partial 16S ribosomal RNA". It matches the Rfam family "Bacterial small subunit ribosomal RNA", at positions 524 to 776 of the family's 1533-position model. The record is from RNAcentral.